Aplysia californica (California sea hare) is the source of this 261-nucleotide long non-coding RNA. RefSeq lists it as uncharacterized. The transcript has 3 exons. Lineage: Eukaryota; Metazoa; Mollusca; Gastropoda; Aplysiida; Aplysiidae. The record is from RefSeq and is a predicted model, not a curated record.
CCCACAACCCCUAACUUCCCCGCCCCCACCACCCCCGGCUCAGGCCCCAAAAAAGGAGACAGACAGUGUGAUGAUGAGGACGUAUAUCUACAGCUUGUGAAUGAAUCAGUCUACAGCUUUGUCUCUGCAGACUUUGAUGAAGAAAACGGAGCUGCAGAGGGAAACAGCUAUUUGCAAGUGUCAGAGGAACCUGUGGGCCCCACCCACUGAAAAAAGCCAGCGCCUCUGGGUAAUACACUCAAAUGUCUUCCGUAAAAAAAA